CAAUAGCGUAUAUUAAAGUUGUUGCGGUUAAAAAGCUCGUAGUUGGAUUUCUGUUGAGGACGACCGUUCCGCCCUCUGGGUGAGUAUCUGGCUCGGCCUCGGCAUCUUCUUGGAGAACGUUACUGCACUUGAUUGUGUGGUGCGGUAUCCAGGACCUUUACUUUGAGGAAAUUAGAGUGUUUCAAGCAGGCGUACGCCUUGAAUACAUUAGCAUGGAAUAAUAAGAUAAGACCUUCGGUUCGUAUUUUGUUUGGUUUCGUUAGGGCUAAGGUAAUGAUUAAUAGGGAUAGUUGGGGGCAUUCGGUAUUUAACUUGUCUAGAGGUGAAAUU
This 330-nucleotide ribosomal RNA is filed under the name uncultured eukaryote. RNAcentral's name for it is "SSU rRNA". It matches the Rfam family "Eukaryotic small subunit ribosomal RNA", at positions 592 to 918 of the family's 1831-position model. The record is from RNAcentral.